AACAAACGCUGGCGGCGUGCUUAACACAUGCAAGUCGAACGAGAACGGGAUAAGGCUUGCCUUAUUUGUCAGCUAAGUGGCGCACGGGUGAGUAAUGUAUAGGUAAUGUGCCCUAGAGAGGGGGAUAAUUGAUGGAAACGUCUUGUAACACCCCAUAUGCCUUUAAGUCAAAAGACUGCAAGGGAAAUAUUUAUAGCUCUAGGAUCAGCCUGUAUGGUAUCAGUUAGUUGGUGGGGUAAUGGCCUACCAAGACUAUGACACCUAACUGGUUUGAGAGGAUGAUCAGUCACACUGGAACUGAGACACGGUCCAGACUCCUACGGGAGGCAGCAGUGGGGAAUAUUGCACAAUGGAGGAAACUCUGAUGCAGCAACGCCUCGUGGAGGAUGACACAUUUCGGUGCGUAAACUCCUUUUAUAUAAGAAGAUAAUGACGGUAUUAUAUGAAUAAGCACCGGCUAACUCCGU
This 467-nucleotide ribosomal RNA is filed under the name uncultured Campylobacterota bacterium. RNAcentral describes it as "bacterial SSU rRNA". It matches the Rfam family "Bacterial small subunit ribosomal RNA", at positions 29 to 506 of the family's 1533-position model. Lineage: Bacteria; Pseudomonadati; Campylobacterota. The record is from RNAcentral.